AUUUAACAUUACCAUGCCUAGACUUUGUUUUCAAUACAAAUGAAACAUUCCCGAGUAUGACUACACCUGCUUUGAUUUACCAAUCCGCUGCCAAGAAGUUGUAGUAGCUGUUCACGUGGAAGCUCAACUGAGGGGGCAUUAUGUAAAGCCACCCAGAACCUGAUCUUGAGAUGCGGCUGCACAAAGUUCUCUGUGUUAAUCCAGGGGUUUAAUGCUCAACCCUGAGGCCAGCGUAUCAAUCUUGGUGACAGACGUGCAUGCUUUGUGGACAAGUUCUUGGGAGUCUGGCAUUUUUGUGGGAUGCUGGAUCCUGUUCCUGUUUCUCAGCACAUAAUCCAGGGAAACAUGGAUGGAUGGACUUCUUGCCUCCAGUUCACCAAUCCUGCAUGUCUUUGGAUUGUAGGAUAAAUCAAGAGCUUCUGGAGGAAACCCAUGCCAACAUGGGGAGAACAUGCAAAUUCCAGCCAGAACUAGAACAUAUAAUAUAUAAAAACCCUCUGUUAUGAGCUUGCCAUCCAUCCAGGGUGUUUCCCUGCCUAUGGCCAGAGACGGUCCAACAUCCCCAUGAUCCUAAGUGGUUUGGAGAAUGGAUGUCAAGUCAGUUCAGGUCACCUUUAUUUUUUAUUAUGUUUUAUAAUAUACAGAUUGUGUCAAAGCAGCUCCACAGAAAUAAACAGGAAGUAACAGAAUCCAUUAUGGAAACUCGGGUAUAGAGACAGUUUUAUUUAGCAGCUCUAAAAAACAGCAGUUUCAUUAUUUAGCUCAAGUUAGUUUAGAUCAGUAACAGUUUCAAGUUAAUCAAUCAGCAACUGUAAGGCAGCAGUGUCGUUAUUUAUCUCGAGUGAGUUCAAUGUUGAUCCAGUUCAGUUCAAUACAAGAGCUGAUGCUGUAAAAUGUGAUUCAUUAGUAAAGCAGCUUAAUUCAGUUCAAUCUUUGUUUAUCCGAUGGUGUCAGAAUGGAUAUAAAACAUAUAAAAGCAUAUAAAACAACACAAAUGUAAGCAGAAAUGUAAUCAUAUUCUAAAUGCACUUUAUUAAUGUAUACAUUUUGGUUCAUUUCUGCAUGAAAUAAGAGAUCUUUUUUAAGAGAUAGAUAAACACUUUAUUUUCAGGCAUUUUUCUUACAUCAUAGUAUCUCCGAUUUGACGGUAACAAUGUAUAUUCACACUUAGUAAUAAUACUGUUUGCCAGACUUAAUUAUCUUUGAAAUAACUUCGACCUUAGGGUGGUGGAAAACACUUUUGCAUUGCAGAACACUCAUAAUCAUUUUUUUUUUUUUUUAAAGAAAGUAAUUUGCUACUUGCUCCAAAAGCCCUAAGACACAAAUAAAAUAUAUUUUUUGCUUUGUCCUCUUACAAACAUUUCCAAUAUGAUUUUUCCAAGAUAACA
Onychostoma macrolepis is the source of this 1388-nucleotide long non-coding RNA. RefSeq lists it as uncharacterized. The record is from RefSeq and is a predicted model, not a curated record. The transcript has 3 exons. Lineage: Eukaryota; Metazoa; Chordata; Actinopteri; Cypriniformes; Cyprinidae.